UUUGUACAGGGAGCUUCGCUAAGAUGCAAAGUUUGUCUUAGAAGAACUCAGGAGAGAAUAAGAACAAAGUAUUGUUGGGUCAGUCUACAAUCCAGCAAAAGAAAAGCCAAAACAAAUGAAUGAGUUUUCUCUGCAACAAACGGAAUACAAGAAUAGAACCACCCAUAAUCUGAAAACAAGUGCUUUCAGAAGAUGGAAAUGCAACAAAAAACCUAACACUACAGGGGAAAACAGUAUCAACAACUUCGAUGAUGCAACAAGCCACGGCUAAAUGGAGUACUGAGGUAAUAAUAAGUAUAUAGGACUCCCAUUAUAUAAUCACUC
Long non-coding RNA from Brassica oleracea var. oleracea, 324 nucleotides. RefSeq lists it as uncharacterized. The record is from RefSeq and is a predicted model, not a curated record. The transcript has 4 exons. Lineage: Eukaryota; Viridiplantae; Streptophyta; Magnoliopsida; Brassicales; Brassicaceae.